AUUCCACAAAGAAUUUCAUACGUUGUUCCAAACUUUUAAGUUACAAUCAUUUUAUACUUUUUUUUUUUUUUUUUUACAUAGGCUAUACUUUAACUUGAAUUUUUUGUGGCUAGCUUAUACAAAUAUAUGUUCAUAAAGAUAUUUAAAUCAUUGGUAGGGCUGGCCAUUUCACCCUGACUCGAUGGAUGUCUGAUCCACCCGAUCCAAUUAUAUGGAUGAAAACCCGAAAACAAUUGGAUUUUAAUCGGGUGACGGGUGGAUCGGGUGGUGGAUCAGGUCGGAUUCGGGUGGACUUAAAUCCCAACAUCCGACCCACUACCCGAUCCACCCAUCCACCCGUGAUUUCUUAUCUAAAAUAUAACUUUUUUUAGUGAAAUUAUGUUUGCAUAAAAAUCUGGUGACUUCUAGGGUUCAUUCACCGCCCCCUCAUCCCCUUCUCUCUCCCAGAUCCUCUCACUCUCACUUUGGAAAAGCUCAACGGCUCAGCCGCCGGAGUAACUAGCAACGUCGCCGAAGACCCAUAUCUGGAUGAAGAGGGUAUGGAAUUAUGGAUGAAUGAAUCUUUUCUCCAGAGAUGUGAUAGGAAGACCUGAUGUCUGCUUGAUUUCAAAGUUGUAGUCUAUUAUUAGAAAUAGCAUGUAAUUCGUGCUUUAAACUUUAAAAACACUACAAUGAUGUGGAGUAUCUGUACUAUUUUUUCCAGUUUUUAAUGAAAAUUUUGACAUCAUUUAGGAAUUAAUUGUGCUCUAACCUUCACCCGUGAAGCACCCGAUCCACCCGAUUCACCUGUGGAUGAUGGGUGGGUUGGAUGUGAAUGGGAAAAAAUAGGGUGAUGGAUGGGUCGGGUGAUGGAUGAAAUGUUGGCGGAUGGAGGCGGAUUGAGCUCCACCCGAUCCACCUCCGAUCCAUUGCCAGCCCUAAUCAUUGGUCAUUCAAUUUGUUGAAUUUCUUGUUAUGUUAUACGAAGUAUAUCUCUCCAAGAAGCAUGCAUGUUGGAGUAAAUUCACUACUACAAAACCCUUGGUUUUUGGACGCUGGUACCUCGACGCUUGGCUUUGGGCGUUGGGAGGAAAACUUUACUCUCGUCGAUUUUUGGCGUCUACGAUUAUCUAGACAGCUUUCUGCGUCGAAAGUGCACGUGCAAGGCACGUGUAUUCAAGUUUAGUAGGAAUAUUACGGAGCCUCCCACGCUCUAUCACUCUUAACUCCCAGCAACCACAUCUUCUCUCAAACCCUAAACCAUUUCAUCUGCAAAUCAUCCCUGGGAAAGGACUCAAUUCUCACACUGUCACUUCGCCAUUGCCUUCAGAGUGGCACAAAACCCCGUCAAAGAUUCUUCUACUUCAGAUCCAAUUUUCAUUUUCUUCCCAAUUUCAUUUCAUUGUGUUGGACGAACUUUCCGAGGAUACAAAUGACAGUUCAUCUUUCAUAAACAUCAGAUGAUGUAUUAAAAAUCUGGAGUCUGCAUCCCAUAUAUAUCAUAUUGGCUAGAGUGCUAUCUGACGCGCCUCAAUUAAAGGUAGAAUUUCUAUUGCUUUAUCUUUCAGAUUUUACUAAUGACAGCACAAUUACUCCAGAAUUUAAAAAGCCUUUUACAAUCUGUGUGGUAGUUUGUUGUUGGAUUGGUUCUUCACAUGAUGUUUGAGUAUCUGAUAUCAGUAUUAAAUUUUAUUUUUUGAGUAUCUGAUACCAGUAUUAACUAAAACAUUUAGCAAUUGUUUUGUACAGUUAUUAACAUUAGUACUUGGCAGUUUAUCGCUGCACUAAAGCUCGACUCUUCAAGACUUCAAGCACAGGAAACAAACAAGUGUAUUGAUAUUCUAAUCUUCCGUAAUUUAUAGUCAUAGACCUUCUUACCUUUUGACUUUUGUAGAGUACUUGUAGUUUAUUUGUUCUACCUUCCGUAAUUUAUUGAUAUUCUAACUUGAUUGUUUUAAAGUCGGAUAUGCAUGGGUGAAUAUCCCCUUCCUGCGCUGCAAAUAUUCUAAUCUAUAAAUCUUUUAGCAGUACUGUAAGCCACUGACCUAGUGGUUUGAAUUUCACAUUAUUGUUUCACAUUAGUUGCCUGCGGCCCUGCUCCUUUCCUAUGGUCAAGAGGUUUCCAGGGAAGCUGUUUUGACUUUUGUUGAAGUAAAGCUUUCUUUUGUUUCUCCUUGUGUAGUUAGGCAAGCAAAUGCAAAUAUCAAGAGCCUUAUAUUAUCAGAAACUUUUGUUAUGUUUCUCAAAGAUAAAUCAGACUAUCAGAAACUUUUGUUAUGUUUUUAUUUAGAAUCCAAAUAUUAAGAGCCUUAUAUUUAUGUGUUAUUCCUAUCCUCUACCACUUGUUUGAAUUUUUAAAUAAUGCUUUGUCCAACAUUCUGAAAAACUAGAAUGAAAUUUGGAUUUCCUUUUCUCCUAAGAGCUACAAAGAACUGAUGGCUAAGUGCAAUUCUCUAGGGAGGGGAAAAGCUCGUUCACUGAGAAAGCUUGAAAAUGUAAAAGAAAAUAUUGUAAAGCUCAAGUGAUUAGGUGGUUGCCGACUGCCGAGUGUUUUAAAUAGGUAUGCUCAAAAUCAAGCAUCCAAGGUGCAAUCAGACUCAAACUUGUUGGUUGAUUGGUUUACAAGUGGACGCUACGAAAGCGAAGAAAGAUGGAAUUUUGAAUUAUGCAGGAGCGAAAACAAUUUUUUCUAUGAAGAUGGCCAGCCUUUGUUUCUUUAUAUGGGCUCCAAGGAUGUAAGCCAUUAUUGUGGAUCUUGCAGAAAAGGCUGUUUCCAUGUGCUUAUCAGUUGUUCUCUGGUCACUUUCAGGUCUUGUGAUUCAAGUUCUAGCUGCAUGAUAGAGAGAAGAUAAAUUCUGCAGCAAGUUGUAUCCCAUGUUCCACGGAGAUUAUUCUAGAAGCUCUAAAUUUACAAGUAAAGAGAAAUGGCGACAAGUCUUUUUUCAAUGCUUUUAGUGUAAAACAAUUUCGAUAGGAAGUGCGUCGUGAUAGUUAAUUAUAUAAUUUUAUAUUGUAUGGUUAUUAUUAUUUUUUCCCAUUAUUUGAACAAAUCCAUUCAAGACUCAUAUUCUGUAUUCUAUACGUUAAUGAUUAAUGAAAAGAUUCCAUU
Molecule: RNA transcript, 3088 nt
Organism: Spinacia oleracea (spinach)
Lineage: Eukaryota; Viridiplantae; Streptophyta; Magnoliopsida; Caryophyllales; Amaranthaceae
Gene name: urease accessory protein D-like
Exons: 8
Source: RefSeq, a predicted model, not a curated record